RNAcentral lists this ribosomal RNA (1671 nucleotides) under activated sludge metagenome. Its description in RNAcentral is "bacterial LSU rRNA". It matches the Rfam family "Bacterial large subunit ribosomal RNA", at positions 784 to 2539 of the family's 2925-position model. The record is from RNAcentral.
CCCCGUUGAAAAGGUGGCGGAUGAGGUGUGGCUAGCGGAGAAAUUCCAAUCGAACCCGGAUAUAGCUGGUUCUCCCCGAAAUAGCUUUAGGGCUAGCGUUGUAUAUAAUUGUCGGAGGUAAAGCACUGAAUGGGCUAGGGGCCGAGAGGUUACUGAACCCUAUCAAACUAAGAAUGCCGAGCAAUGUGAGUACAGCAGUCAGACAGUGUGAGAUAAGUCUCAUUGUCGAAAGGGAAAGAGCCCAGACCCACAGCUAAGGUCCCAAAAUUAAUUUAAGUGGAGAAGGAUGUGGGGUUGCAUAGACAACCAGGAUGUUGGCUUAGAAGCAGCCAUACAUUAAAAGAGUGCGUAAUAGCUCACUGGUCGAGUGACCCUGCGCCGAAAAUUCAACGGGGCUAAAAUUAAUACCGAAGCUUGGGCUUGAUGACUUGUCAUCAGGGGUAGGGGAGCGUUGUGUAAGAGGAGAAGUCAUAGCGGAAGCGAUGGUGGAUUUUACACAAGUGAGAAUGCCGGAAUGAGUAGCGAGAAUUAUGUGAGAAUCAUAAUGGCCGAAAAUCUAAGGUUUUAGGAGGAAGGUUCGUCCGCUCCUAGUAAGCCGGGAGCUAAGGUGAGGCGGAGACGCGUAGCCGAUGCACAUACGGUAGAAAAUCCGUAGCCUCCAAAAUAUUUAAACACAGGGACACUUUGAAGAUGUUUAGCCGGGCGAUGGUUGCCCCGGUCGAAAGGGACUGAAAAUGUUCGGGAAGUAAACAUGGACGAAGGCGAGAAAAGCUGUGUGAAUAUAUGAGGAGCCCGUACCGCAAACCGACACAGGUAGAUAGGAAGAGAAUUCCAAGGCCAACGGGAGAAGGGUUGUUAAGGAACUCGGCAAGUUGACCCCGUAACUUCGGGAGAAGGGGUGCUCAUGAAAGUGAGCCGCAGAGAAUAGGCCCAAGCGACUGUUUAGCAAAAACACAGCUCUAUGCUAAAUCGAAAGAUGACGUAUAUGGGGUGACACCUGCCCGGUGCUGGAAGGUUAAGAGGAGGGGUGAGAGCUCUGAAUUGAAGCCCCAGUAAACGGCGGCCGUAACUAUAACGGUCCUAAGGUAGCGAAAUUCCUUGUCAGGUAAGUUCUGACCCGCACGAAUGGUGUAACGAUUUGGGCACUGUCUCAACAACCCGCCCGGCGAAAUUGUAGUACCGGUGAAGAUGCCGGUUACCCGCGACUAGACGGAAAGACCCCAUGGAGCUUCACUGUAGCUUAAUAUUGGAUUUCGGUAUUUGAUGUACAGGAUAGGUGGGAGACUAGGAAGCAAAGGCGUCAGCUUUUGUGGAGUCAAACUUGGGAUACCACUCUUUAAGUGCUGGAAUUCUAACCUGCGACCAUGAAACUGGUCGGGGGACAAUGUUAGGUGGGCAGUUUGACUGGGGCGGUCGCCUCCAAAAAGGUAACGGAGGCGCUCAAAGGUUAGCUCAGUAUGGAUGGAAACCAUGCGAAGAGUGUAAACGCGUAAGCUAGCCUAACUGCGAGACUGACGGGUCGAGCAGUAACGAAAGUUGGAGUUAGUGAUCCGGCGGUAUGUGAAUGGAAAUGCCGUCGCUCAACGGAUAAAAGCUACCCUGGGGAUAACAGGCUGAUCUCCCCCAAGAGUCCACAUCGACGGGGAGGUUUGGCACCUCGAUGUCGGCUCA